This 253-nucleotide ribosomal RNA is filed under the name uncultured bacterium. Its description in RNAcentral is "partial 16S ribosomal RNA". It matches the Rfam family "Bacterial small subunit ribosomal RNA", at positions 524 to 776 of the family's 1533-position model. The record is from RNAcentral.
UACAGAGGUCCCAAGCGUUGUUCGGAUUCACUGGGCGUAAAGGGUGCGUAGGUGGCCAGGUAAGUUUGGUGUGAAAGCUCGGAGCUUAACUCCGAAAAGUCAUUGAAUACUAGCUGGCUGGAGGGUCGGAGGGGAGACUGGAAUUCUCGGUGUAGCAGUGAAAUGCGUAGAUAUCGAGAGGAACACCAGUGGCGAAGGCGAGUCUCUGGACGACUCCUGACACUGAGGCACGAAAGCUAGGGGAGCAAACAGG